This is a long non-coding RNA of Spinacia oleracea (spinach), 1255 nucleotides long. RefSeq lists it as uncharacterized. The transcript has 2 exons. The record is from RefSeq and is a predicted model, not a curated record. NCBI's taxonomy places the organism in Eukaryota, Viridiplantae, Streptophyta, Magnoliopsida, Caryophyllales, Amaranthaceae.
GAUUCAGUGUUUGAGAUGUAUUAUGGGACCCAUAGAGUGUUAACACGUCUGACGGGCCAAUCAAUUUGCUUUAUUUAAAUGUAGUUGGGUGAUGUGGAGGCAUAUGUGAGCGAGUGACGUCUUUUCAUGGUCUAGCGCGUGGCAACGGGUUUUGAUAUGGGGUUUUGGACCACUCCUUGUCUCAUUAAUGCUUUAGUAAAUGCGUUAUUCGACGUCUGUGUAUGUCAAAAUUGCUCGUAUUUUUAACAUAAAAAUAUAAUCUUCUAUCUAUCUAUCUAUAACUAUUACUAAAAGAAAUACCGCUGACAUCAUCUUUUCCUCCAAACUAUACACAUGUCACUCUCUCCUCCAAUAUUUUCCCGCCCAAACUGCCUACAUCCCUCACUUCUCUUUUGCGUCAUUUCUAUUCUUCGUUUACGCUUUCCAAUAUUUUUUUAAAAUCACGCUGGCCAGUUACCAAUUUAUGGCUGUGACCAUUGCUAUUUCCUAGGAUUUUUAGAUCUACUGUUUCAAUUUCCCUUGCUUUAAAAGUUUUUUAUGGAAAAACCAUGGAAGGAAACCGAGAAGUUACUGAUUCAAUUUACUCCAAUACUUGUAAUUUUUUUGCUCAAAUUCUUAUUAGUUUUUCCUGUUUCUCGAACAAAUUGCUAUGAUUGAUUAUGUAUUUUUGAUUUUCGGGUAGCUUAAACUUCGGAUUGUUGCAGCUCUUGAACAACUCCAAUGACAGCUUUGGGUAAUUAGAACUCCAAGUUUAUUUCUCGAAUGUGGGUAAUCACGUUCUACCACUAUGGGAACUGUACUAUUUUGAAUCUAUUUGAAUUCUGAUUUAUGUUUUAUCAACUUUUUUUUCAUUUGAAAUCUUUUUUGUUUUUGAGAGUGAAUUGGAGGAUGGGAUAAAAGUUCUUUCUAUUUUGACAUGGGUGAAGAUGAAUAGCAGAAGAUUCUGGCAAAGAUAUGAGGACGACGUUCUGAAUAGGAAUAACGACGAGGGCGGCUAAGUCGGCGGUAGCAAGGUGUGUCCAUGUCGUCUGUAACGGUGUUUCCGGAAUAAAUUUGAGUUUUGAUUGGAUUUAUCAAUAUACUCAGUAGUUUGCAGUAAUUGGAGGAAUUUUGAUUGGAUUUAUCAAUAUAGUUUGAAGUGGGUUUGGACGGAAUACAUAUUUAAUAUUUUGUUUUGAAGAUGUAUGAAACUUGAGAUUAUUAUACACUUAUGUCGUUCCAUUUAAUUAUUUAAUACAUCUAUGCUUAAUGAAGA